Molecule: long non-coding RNA, 689 nt
Filed under: Gossypium barbadense (sea-island cotton)
Lineage: Eukaryota; Viridiplantae; Streptophyta; Magnoliopsida; Malvales; Malvaceae
Description: long non-coding RNA (GBAR_LNC003458)
Source: RNAcentral
CUGAGGAUAAGAAAACAAUCUUGCAGAAUGGUAAUUUUUACUUUCACAGAUUUUCUUUUGCUUGCUUCCUUUUUGAAGCUUUUAUCUAAAUAGCCAAAUUGAGAUUUUUUAUAGUAGUUAUUAAGCAUUUGAGAUGAAAUUUAGGUUGCAAAGGAAGGUGAUGAGAAACGGAGUAGUCUAUGUCAGAAUUAAGUUCUACAUAUUCAUUUGAUUUAAUUUUAGCCAUCAAACUACUGGUUUAGUAUCAAAAUGAUUUGCAAUGCUUGAGUUCCAAAGUUGGCAUCAAUGUGCCAAAAAAAAGUUUAUUUAUCUUAUCUUAUUAUUAAUAAGAAUUAAUUGAUUAAUGGUUUAUAACAAUGGGUUAGAUCUAAUUUUUGUUUAAAUCAGGAAAAUACGUCUUACAUUGGUAAACUUGCCGAACACAGGGCAGAGAGCUAUGUUACUUGCACUGAGAUGCCAGUGUCCACUACAUAUAUGUCUCCUACACGGUAUAGUUAGAUUUUUUAUUUCUAUAUAUUCAGUUCUUUGGAAGUUAUAUCCUCAUAUUCAUGUGUCAGAUGAGUGUUGGACAUGGAUGUUUCAGAAAGAAUGAAGGAUCCGAGCAGCAUAGCUGGCGAAGUAUGACUGUAUGAGUAGGAUUUAAAGGAGGCAAAGAAUGCUGACAGAAUGAAAAUGAAAAGUAACACUUC